UUUAUUUUUAUUUAUAAUAAAUAAAACCUGCUCAAUGAAUUUAUUUAAAUAGCCGCAAUUUCUGUGCUAAGGUAGCAUAAUCAUUUGUUUUUUAAUUAAAAACUAGAAUGAAAGGUUCAACAUAUAAUUUCUUUUUAAAUAAAAAAUUUUUUAAUUUAUAUUAGAUAUUAAAAUAUAUCUAUAUAAAAAAAAGACGAUAAGACCCUAUUAAACUUAACUUUAGUUAAGCUGGGGCAGCUUGUUAAUAAAAAUUUUAAUUUUUUAAAAAUAAAAAUCUAAUCAAAUUAAAAUAUAAUCAAGUUACUAUAGGGAUAACAGCAUAAUAAUUUUUUAAAGCUCUUAUUUAAAAAAAAGUUUAUGACCUCGAUGUUGAAUUAAUAUCCUUUAUUAAAGCAAAAAUUAUAAAAGUAGGUCUGUUCGACCUUUAAUAUAUUACA
Molecule: ribosomal RNA, 437 nt
Filed under: Chrosiothes cf. jocosus MS109
Lineage: Eukaryota; Metazoa; Arthropoda; Arachnida; Araneae; Theridiidae
Description: partial 16S ribosomal RNA
Source: RNAcentral